This 140-nucleotide ribosomal RNA is filed under the name uncultured bacterium. RNAcentral's name for it is "partial 16S ribosomal RNA". It matches the Rfam family "Bacterial small subunit ribosomal RNA", at positions 355 to 509 of the family's 1533-position model. The record is from RNAcentral.
UGGGGAAUAUUGCACAAUGGGGGAAACCCUGAUGCAGCAACGCCGCGUGAAGGAAGACGGUUUUCGGAUUGUAAACUUCUAUCAAUAGGGACGAAGGAAAUGACGGUACCUAAAUAAGAAGCCCCGGCUAACUACGUGCC